GCCCUCGUGGUGCAAUGGUUAAGCACUUGGCUGCUAACCGAAAGGUUGGGGGUCUGAACCCUCCCAGUGGCU
RNAcentral lists this transfer RNA (72 nucleotides) under Loxodonta africana (African savanna elephant). It matches the Rfam family "tRNA". Rfam says of the family: Transfer RNA (tRNA) molecules are approximately 80 nucleotides in length. The record is from Rfam by way of RNAcentral. Lineage: Eukaryota; Metazoa; Chordata; Mammalia; Proboscidea; Elephantidae.